CAGUAGCCGCGGGAAUACAGAGGGUGCGAGCGUUAAUCGGAUUUACUGGGCGUAAAGCGUGCGUAGGCGGCUUUUUAAGUCGGAUGUGAAAUCCCUGAGCUUAACUUAGGAAUUGCAUUCGAUACUGGGAAGCUAGAGUAUGGGAGAGGAUGGUAGAAUUCCAGGUGUAGCUGUGAAAUGCGUAGAGAUCUGGAGGAAUACCGAUGGCGAAGGCAGCCAUCUGGCCUAAUACUGACGCUGAGGUACGAAAGCAUGGGGAGCAAACAGGAUUAGAUACCCCCGUAGUCCCUGUCUCUUAUAC
RNAcentral lists this ribosomal RNA (301 nucleotides) under uncultured bacterium. Its description in RNAcentral is "partial 16S ribosomal RNA". It matches the Rfam family "Bacterial small subunit ribosomal RNA", at positions 509 to 807 of the family's 1533-position model. The record is from RNAcentral.